CCCCGCACACUCACAGCGCGCGCGGUCAUUCAAAAUCAAUACUGUCUGUGUGUUGCAGCUGUGCUAAUGAUGGAUAAACCUCGUGUAACACCAGCUCAUAAAAUAACGGGUAAACAGAAAACGACAGAUGACGAUGAAAAACAAAUAAAAAGGAAAGAAUUUGAUAGAGUCCAAAAUAAAACGAGGGUAAAUAUCGGAGCGGUUUUUCAGAGGUGGAGGGAGCUACGUGUCCUGAAAGGAUUUAAAACCGAUGGCGAGUUAGCCACAUGUCUGCUCGACAAGUAAGUAUCCCUGCAUGAUUUGUUUAAUUUUUUAAGAACUACACAACUAAGAUAAUUUCAAAACAGUCCUGACAAAUUAUGUAUGGCAUGAUUUCUUGUAGAUUUCAGGGUUGUGCUUUGCAUAUAACAUCAACACCAACCAAACAUCCGAUGACUACGCUUCCUAUCCCUGCCCUUUCUAGUAAUGUUGGCGACUCAUCCUCAGAUCGGUAUGAAAAUUAUUGUGAAAGCCUAUAUUACUAAGUUCACUAUGUUGAUUCAGCCUCAGCGGUGUUCAUGGUGUGUUAUUAGAUGUUUGGUCCGAAUGAUUAUGAUAUAUGAUUCAUUGCACAAACAUAAGGACAAUUGAAAAUUAGAGGCAAGUUGGUAGAGACGCAGUUCAUAAAGUACAUUUUAAUCUGUGAUAAAUGUGUGAAAAAUAUGAUAAUGGUUUGAGCUCAAUUAUUUGAUUUUCUACAGUGAUGAUGAUUUUGGGGAGGGUCUGGGCUGCAGUGAAGUUGGGGAGACACCUAUUUGUGUUUUAGAAACAAGUAUGUCAUCGCUCGACAUUAAUGAUGACAUCGAUGAAAAUGACUUCAAUCACAUUCAAAACUCUGUUAUUCACUGGGCUGAGGACAGGACAUGGGCUCCACAUGAGGACACAAGAGAAGUUUAACAUCAGAGGAAGAGGAAACCAUAGAGGAGGCCAGUGACUAUGAUGACAGUGAAGAUGAGGAUUACAUCCCACCUUUAUGUGUUCGGCCAUCAGCUUGGAGGACACUGUUCAUGACACUCUAGACCCAGAGCUAAUAGAAUCCCAACCAGUUCCAGAAAUAAUUAAAAUCCAGAGUGAGGACGACAUUGAUCAUCCUGCAGCCAUCACUUAUCAUGUCUGUUUGAAACAGCUCGCAGAGUAUCUGUUGCUCCCAAUCCCAAUGUGUACAGUGAAAGACCCACUGACAAUGGUGGGAUGUCGGGCCCCUGGACCAUUCCAGAUCCAGACCAAGUCCAGAGGAACAGUCAUCAUGCAAUGGAUCUGUCCAAACAAUCAUUGUGUGUGGCAAUGAAACUCCCAGCCUACUUUCAAGUACGGGAUGCAAGCUGGGGACUUCCUUUUGGCAUCAAAUAUAUUACUAUCUGGCAACAAUUAUGCCAAAGUUGCAUUGCUCUUCAAGUUUAUGAAUAUGGGAAUGGUGGAGCGGACAACCUUCUCUAAAAUACAGGACACAUACUGUGUUGAUACCAUCAAAGACUUCUGGAUCAGCAACAGAGCAGAAGUGGUUUCCAGGCUGCAGUCAAAGGACAAUGUUGUAGUACUUGUCCUGGGUUUUGUGCUCAGUACUGCACCUACACCAUCAUGGAAAAUGACACCAAAGAAAUCCUGUCAAUAGUCAACAUUGACAAGCGAGACACGCAGAGGAAUUCUGGGAUUAUGGAGAGCGAAGGUUUUAUCAGGAGUUUCGACCAGCUCCACCAGGAGGUUAAACUUGCUGAAGUAUGCACAGAUGCACAUUCACAGAUAUCUGCUCUCUUCAACCCAGUCAAAGGAAAAUACAAGCAUAGCGGAGUGCUGCACACUCUGGACAUGUGGCAUGGUUCCAAAAACUUGGGCAAGAAGAUACUUGCUUUAAGUAUUUUAAUAUAUAAAAAUGUACUUCACUAUGGUCAAACUUGUACAUUUUUUUCCUAUAUUUGUAUUUGUUCAUUUUAUUAUUUUGUGUAUAUUUAGGCAGGGCAGCAAAGGGGUUGUUCCAUUCUUCUGCAGUGGAUCAAGGAUGUUUGCAAUCAUUUCUGGUUCUGCUGAAAGAUGGCUGAAAACUAUGAUGACUUUUGGGAGUAAUACUAUUACUCACCCAAAUAUACUAUAUGCAAUUUUCUUUAAUAAUACUUCAACACUCUGGUGUUGUUGAGAUGUGAGAUAAAAAGCAGUUUUGUGUAGAACUUGAUAUUGUUCAUUACUACAUGAGAAAUGUUUUACAGUUAUCAAAUUAAUAAAAAUCCGCUAACAGUGAAACAUGAUGGAUAAAAGGCAACUACUAUACAAAGUGUAUGUUUAAUUAUUCUGAAAAUAAUGUGGAUUGGCCUUCUUCACCAUGUCACGGGAGAGCACGAGUGGUCACUGGAUGCCUGUCAGCAUGGUCCCUUGGAGGAGCACAGAGACAAGGGCUGGAUAGAGAAGGGGUCCGUGGCCCAUCAGGCUUUAUCAGAAAUCAUUCUCAAUGAACGCUGGCUAAAGGACGUACACACGUACUUGCACUUUAGGUCAACCGCUGAGCUGGAGUCUUUUCAUAAUCAUAUCUUAAUGUAAGCCAGCAAGCGCUUUAGUUUCAGCCCGAAUCUUACUGGCUGGCCUGGAUUACAACAACCAUUUUCACAGACCACCCAAGAGAAAGACUGAUGGCUCCAUAGAAUAUCGUAAACUCUAUAAGAAGAUGUCCAGAAAGUGGAGUUUGUAUGCCAUAAAAGAGGAAAAGGACUCCCGUUACAUCCCAGAAAUUCCGAGGGAAAUUGUAAGGAAAUGGGUGUCAUCAGGACGUGGACUCCCUCCACUAAUAACCAUGAGACCAAAUGACCCACGUCAGCAUGGUGUGCUGUCCCACCACACAGGAGCUAUUGGAAACCCAAGUCAGCAGGGGCCAGGGUCAGACAUUGCCCCAGAAAUAGUGGCACGUGAAGAAAUCAUCUUUCAGCAAAAAUCUAAAUGUUAACGUAUUUUAUUGUGCAGGAG
Molecule: long non-coding RNA, 2988 nt
Organism: Carassius auratus (goldfish)
Lineage: Eukaryota; Metazoa; Chordata; Actinopteri; Cypriniformes; Cyprinidae
Exons: 10
Source: RefSeq, a predicted model, not a curated record